UACCAGCACCCCGAGUGGUCGGGACGAUUAUUGGGCCUAAAGCAUCCGUAGCCGGCCUUACAAGUCCUCCGUUAAAUUCAGCUGCUUAACAGAUGGGCUGCGGAGGAUACUAUAAGACUAGGAGGCAGGAGAGGCAAGCGGUACUCAGUGGGUAGGGGUAAAAUCCGUUGAUCCAUUGAAGACCACCAGUGGCGAAGGCGGCUUGCCAGAAUGCGCUCGACGGUGAGGGAUGAAAGCUGGGGGAGCAAACCGG
RNAcentral lists this ribosomal RNA (253 nucleotides) under uncultured bacterium. RNAcentral describes it as "partial 16S ribosomal RNA". It matches the Rfam family "Archaeal small subunit ribosomal RNA", at positions 474 to 727 of the family's 1478-position model. The record is from RNAcentral.